CUAAAUCAUAAAUUAAUUUCAAUAAUCAUAAAUUAAAUGAUCCAUAAUAAUCAUUGUUAUUUAGAUUUGGACAGGUACUUUAAUAAGUUCUAAGGUGUUUUUAACACUGGACUAGCAAUCUAACACUCUACAUAUAUUAUCAUCCUUCCAUAUUUUCUGCAAUUUGGGAGAAAAAUAACAGCUGUCACAAAUAUUUUGCACAGAGCUUGUAUAUCUCAUGAACAGUACCUUCAUGUGUUAAAGGAUUAGUUGC
This 253-nucleotide long non-coding RNA is filed under the name Mytilus galloprovincialis (Mediterranean mussel). Lineage: Eukaryota; Metazoa; Mollusca; Bivalvia; Mytilida; Mytilidae. The record is from RNAcentral.